Molecule: RNA transcript, 3366 nt
Organism: Lytechinus pictus (painted urchin)
Lineage: Eukaryota; Metazoa; Echinodermata; Echinoidea; Temnopleuroida; Toxopneustidae
Exons: 3
Source: RefSeq, a predicted model, not a curated record
AGUUAUCAGAACAAGGCAUUAUGACUGGAACAUGAAGGCAAGCAAUGCAGAGGAAGAAAAAUUAUCUUUUAUGGUGAACUCUGCGGACAUCCCAAUACUUUUUCAGAUGCCCCCAGUUAAGUCAACAAUGGAACUUUCCAAGAAGAGGGAAGAGGACAUAUGGAAACAUAUCCGCCCAUUUUUAGAUGAGGAAAAGGUAGAUCCUCUCAGCAUGAUCUGACCAAUGCGGUGAUGUCUUUUAAGGCAAGCGCACACCUUACGGCCCGAUCCGGCGUCACAGCUCUUGUCAGCUUGAGAGUCGCAGACCGGUCAGAGACAAGUCGCAAGGAAAACCGUAAGGAUUUUAGGCUCAAUCCAACUUCCAACCAAUCAGACAGCAGAGUUGCACGACGCGUAUAUGAUAUACAACAUGCUUACGCUGUAUUACUGAAGAGGAAGAAGAAUCAGGAGCUAAGAGUCUAAUGAUGUCAAGAAGAUCAACUUGUAAAGAGACCAUUGUACUGUGCAACGUGGACUUCAGUGAUCUAGCGGUGAAGAUCGGAUCGGAGUGGCAACACCUUGGUAUCAGGCUCGGGUUAAAUCCAGAAAAUAUUUUUCAUAUCAAGGAGGACAAUCCAACGGCGGUAAAUCGUAUAAUUGCAAUGCUAGAACUGUGGAACCAACAAUCAUCUUGUGAGGGAAAUAAGAUACAGAUGGUGAAGGAUCUAUGUAGUGCACUGACAAGAUGCAACAGGGCAGAUCUUGCAAAUUAUAUAGAAACACUGCAGGACUAAGUUAACUAACAUUUGGACAACAGUACUUGGAUGUAUUUUCUUAAUAAUGUCAAUAACUCUUGGCUUUGUGACAAGUUGAUUGCGGAGUACGAAAUGUGAUGGCCAAUGAAAGUUCUUCAUUGAUUUUCAAUAAAGUUUUAUUUUCCUUUUCAAUCUCUAAUAGGUAAAGAGUAAUGCCUUUAAGUACACAUCCAGUCAUAGACGAGUCUAUUAAAAUGAUAACAUGCAUUCGACAGAAAUUAUAAUAUCCAGUAGUCUAAUGAUGACAUUUAGUAGAAAUUAUAACAUUCAGUAGUCAAUGAUAACAAUUGGUAGAUACCAAUGAUGGUAUCUUGGUACUUUCUUCGUUCAUUGAUGUUCACCUACAUCAUUAAUGAGGUCAAUUUAAUAACAUCAUCUUAUCACAUUGACUACCAGUUCAUGAUAUAUCAAACAAACAGCCUGCCUGGAUGGAAAAUAAUACUUUCAAGAUAGUUCAUGCUGUAUUUAAUCAAGAUAUGUCCAUAUUUUGUAUCAGACAGUAUUUUGACAUAACGGAUAUUUUACUUUUGUUGUUGAAUAUCAGAUCGUUUUUGUCUUUAGUGAUAAUGAUGGUAUUAGAUACUUAAUAGUUUUGUACAUUUCUAAAAUCAUGUUUAAGCGAAGGUCAUAAAUAUGUCCACAAUUAUAAUAAUGAUAUUAGACCUCUAACUUAUACUCUGUAUUAUAGUUUAGUUUCUUUUAUUCUCUUUUUAAUAGUUUGUCCGUGAUUGACAAAAAAGAUAACAUGAUGUUAUUUUCUAUCAAGUAUUUUUUUAUGUGUAAAAUAGUUCGUGAUGUGUCAUCUUCUGAUUAUAACUUUUUCUUAUUGUAUUAAUCAUGCAUCUCUCUUUCUCUCUCUCUCUCUCUCUUGUUAACACACAUGUAAAUGCAUUCAUUAAUGCCCAAAUAAGUCCUACAUUGUAUAUAUAGUAUUUCCUUCCUAAUUAGUAUAAAACAUUUUGUUGGCACACAUAUCCAAGUGCUUUCCAAACAUCAAAUUCAGGUUAUUAUUCUUUGUAUGUUUCAAUGCAUUGUUUAUAACAUUUUUGUGAGUGUCUUUUAUCGACAUUAUCAAAUAAUCGUAAGGAUUUUAUACCUUAUUUUAGCUACUACUUAUGUUCAUUAAACUAUUCAAUCGCUCAAUAAUUUUUACAGUGAAAAAUAUUCAAAAUUAUCAAUGAAAAAUAAGAUAUGUUUGCAUGUAAAUAAUAUAUUUACUAAUUCUGUUCUAAAAUAUUUUGUUCUGAUUUUUCUGAUCAUAUGCCGAUUUGUAGCAUUAACAAAGGCAAUGCCAUUAUUUCUAGUAAAGCAAAUAGAAAAGUGUUUAGACGUGUAAUUACUGAUGUAAGAAUGAAUAACUUUAGACAAGAUUUACAUAACCCAGAUUGGUCUACUUUGUAUGAUUUGUUUGACGCUAAUGUGUCAUUUAACUAUUUUAGUGACCUUUUUUCUAAGUUAUAUAAUGAACAUUUCCCUUUAAUUAAAUGUAGUGGUAAGAAUAAAUGCAGGAAACCAUGGAUCACUCCAGUUCUUCUAAAACCCAUUCAUGAAAAACAUAAGCUUUAUUAUGCACAUACAAAAAAUAAAAGUGAGAUUAAUCGGAAAAAAGUAUAUUGAUUACAAAAAUAUAUUUACAAAUCUUGUUCGUCAAAGUAAGAAAAAUUAUUAUGAUAAUGUUUUUCGAACAAAACAAAAUGAUAUGAGAAAGACUUGGUCACAUAUCAAUGCAUUGCUGGGGAGGGGGAAGAAAAUGCCACUCCCAAAUGACAUGUAUCAUAACGAAUUAUUGUUAAAUUCGGAUUUACAUAAAGCAGAAUAUUUCAAUAAAUAUUUUAUUGAUCUACCUUCUAAAAUAAGCAAGUAAAUUCCUCCUGUCCAAACAUCAUACAAAGAUUUUAUGUCCGUCCAAAAUCACUCCUGAUCCUUGUAUUUUCGACCAACAUCUGUUCGUGAAAUUUCUAAUUUGGUUUCGACUUUAAAACCAUCGAAGGCAUGUGGGUCAGAUGAUAUUUCUCCCAAGGUAAUAAAAAUUUGUAUUCAAUGCAUUGUUGAUCCCUUGUGCGAUAUUUUUAAUAAGUCUUUGUUUCACGGUAUUGUCCCUGACAAACUGAAAUAUGUGUGCGUGAGGGUGUGUGUGUGUGUGUGUAUUUUUGUAUGUAUUUUUCUUAUUUACUCUCUAGAUAAUAAUAAUAAUAAUAAUAAUAAACAGUUCUUGUAUAGCGCAUAUCACGAUUAUGAAUAAUGUCUCUAUGCGCUUCCAAAGGACUUGGAUAUUAUUACCCCAACUGUAGCUUGGCAGCCGUAAUUACUAAGAUUACAGCGCACACGCAUUUCAAGGAAUAAAUUCCUGCCAGGUACCCAUUCACCUCACCUGGGUUGAGUGCAGCACAAUGUGGAUAUAUUAUCAUUGUAUAUAUUUUUCAUCUCAUUCUUGCUGUACUGUAUUGUAUAAGGGGCCCCUCUCACAAGCUCUGCUUCUAUGUGGUCCCAAACCUAUCAUGUAUUCUCAUUUCUUGUUAAACUAUGUAAUAUGUCUCUUGUUUUGAUUGGUUUAAAUAAACUUGAACUUGAA